UGGGACAUAGCGCAGCUUGGUAGCGCACUACCUUGGGGUGGUAGGGGUCGUGAGUUCAAAUCUCACUGUUCCAACCA
Molecule: transfer RNA, 77 nt
Filed under: Clostridium sp.
Lineage: Bacteria; Bacillati; Bacillota; Clostridia; Eubacteriales; Clostridiaceae
Also listed under: 3 other names
Description: tRNA-Pro
Rfam family: tRNA
About the family: Transfer RNA (tRNA) molecules are approximately 80 nucleotides in length. Their secondary structure includes four short double-helical elements and three loops (D, anti-codon, and T loops).
Source: RNAcentral